GAUGAAGAACGUAGCAAAAUGCGAUAAGUAAUGUGAAUUGCAGAAUUCAGUGAAUCAUCGAAUCUUUGAACGCACAUUGCGCCCGCUGGUAUUCCGGCGGGCAUGCCUGUUCGAGCGUCAUUUCAACCCUCAAGCCCCCGGGUUUGGUGUUGGGGAUCGGCUCUGCCCUUCUGGGCGGUGCCGCCCCCGAAAUACAUUGGCGGUCUCGCUGCAGCCUCCAUUGCGUAGUAGCUAACACCUCGCAACUGGAACGCGGCGCGGCCAUGCCGUAAAACCCCAACUUCUGAACGUUUGACCUCGGAUCAGGUAGGAAUACCCGCUGAACUUAAGCAUAUCAAUAAGCGGAGGA
This 349-nucleotide unclassified non-coding RNA is filed under the name soil metagenome. Its description in RNAcentral is "partial contains 5.8S ribosomal RNA, internal transcribed spacer 2, and large subunit ribosomal RNA". The stretch from base 1 to 120 matches the Rfam family "5.8S ribosomal RNA", at positions 35 to 154 of the family's 154-position model. The record is from RNAcentral.